UACGUAGGUGGCAAGCGUUGUCCGGAAUUAUUGGGCGUAAAGCGCGCGCAGGUGGUUUCUUAAGUCUGAUGUGAAAGCCCACGGCUCAACCGUGGAGGGUCAUUGGAAACUGGGGAACUUGAGUGCAGGAGAGAAGAGUGGAAUUCCACGUGUAGCGGUGAAAUGCGUAGAGAUGUGGAGGAACACCAGUGGCGAAGGCGACUCUUUGGCCUGUAACUGACACCGAGGCGCGAAAGCGUGGGGAGCAAACAGG
RNAcentral lists this ribosomal RNA (253 nucleotides) under uncultured bacterium. RNAcentral describes it as "partial 16S ribosomal RNA". It matches the Rfam family "Bacterial small subunit ribosomal RNA", at positions 524 to 776 of the family's 1533-position model. The record is from RNAcentral.